CAUGGCUGUCGUCAGCUCGUGUCGUGAGAUGUUGGGUUAAGUCCGUAACGAGCGCAACCCUUGUCCUUAGUUACCAGCACGUUAUGGUGGGCACUCUAAGGAGACUGCCGGUGACAAACCGGAGGAAGGUGGGGAUGACGUCAAGUCAUCAUGGCCCCUACGGCCUGGGCUACACACGUGCUACAAUGGUCGGUACAAAGGGUUGCCAAGCCGCGAGGUGGAGCUAAUCCCAUAAAACCGAUCGUAGUCCGGAUCGCAGUCUGCAACUCGACUGCGUGAAGUCGGAAUCGCUAGUAAUCGUGAAUCAGAAUGUCACGGUGAAUACGUUCCCGGGCCUU
Molecule: ribosomal RNA, 338 nt
Filed under: uncultured Pseudomonas sp.
Lineage: Bacteria; Pseudomonadati; Pseudomonadota; Gammaproteobacteria; Pseudomonadales; Pseudomonadaceae
Description: bacterial SSU rRNA
Rfam family: Bacterial small subunit ribosomal RNA
Source: RNAcentral